GUCCUAUUCUGUAAAGGCCACGCAGGUUCCAGGCGUUCUGUGUUCCGCAAGACCUUUGGCCAACCCUACCUCGUCGGUGGGCUGCCCAGUCCUUGAGACUCGUGAGUGCUUUGCCAUUCUCUUCCUGAAGAUUUUUUUUUUUUCCUGAGAGCUGACAGAAUGAGACUUGCCCCCAGGUCGGUACCGAAUGCCUGGGUGAACAGUGAAAAUAUUCUUCUGCCCUCGAGAAAAUGACAACAAAACAAAACAAAACAAAAACUAGGAAAUGAACAACAGCUAAAUGACUCGAACCUUUGACGACCAUGUUCAUCACCAUCAAGGCGAGAACAUGGCAGCAUCCAGGUGGGCAUGGUGCAAGAGGAGCUGAAAGUUCUACAUCUUCAUUUGAAGGCUGCUAGCAGAAUACUGGCUUCCAGGAAGCUAGGAUGAGAAAGCCCACACUCACAGUGACACAUCUCCUCCAACAAGGUCACGCCUACUCCAACAGAGCCACAGCCAGCUCCCUGGGCCAAGCAUAGCCAAACCAUAACAUGAGCUUUGCACAGCAGUACCACUAAAGACUGGUGGAUUCUAUGGAGCAUCUGUACAAGAAAUUGAUAAGAAAAUGUUACCUUCAGCCAAACCAUAACAUGAGCUUUGCACAGCAGUACCACUAAAGACUGGUGGAUUCUAUGGAGCAUCUGUACAAGAAAUUGAUAAGAAAAUGUUACCUUCAGAGCUUUCCUAUCCCUUCUGCAGGGGGCUUACAGCUAAUUUGAGGGGAUAGGGUUCCCAGGAUUCUGUGUGUCAUUUGCCACUUGCGAUCAUUUCCCAUGUAUAUGGCAUGCCUGUUCAUAGACUUGUUAUACCUUGUGCCUACUCCUGACUGGUGAACUUUGAAUAGAAUGUGAAUAAGAUAUCUAUCCAUCUGAGUCCUAGCUAUAACACUGAAAUUGUAUCUUUCUCGAAGUUGCUCAAAGAUUCAGUGUUAGGUUGUAUUUUUCCCAAUGUAAAGUACAGAAGGAGUGAGCAGAGGAUUCAGAUAUGGAUCUGAUUGGUUUGAAAGUAUCGAAUAACUGUUGCACACAGUUUACGCUGGCUAGUUUUCUAUGAAUUUGACACAAGGUAGAGGCAUUUGAGAAGAGGGAACCUCAAUUGAGAAAAUGCUCCUAUCAUAGGUCAAGCACGUGGAGCAUUUUUGUUUGUUUGUUUGGUUUUGUUUUUCCAAGUCAGGGUUUCUCUGUGUAGCCCUGACUGUCCUGGAACUUGUUCUGUAGACCAGGCUGGCCUCAAACUCACAAAGAUCUGCUUGCCUCUGACUUCUAAGUGCUGGACCUAAAGGCCACCACCUCGCUCCUGCAUUUUCUUGAUUAAUGAUGGAUGGGCAAGCAUCCAGCACAUUGAAGGUAGUGCCACCCAUGGGCUAGUGGUCCUGGAGAGCAUAAGAAAUCAGGUUGAGCAAGCCACAUGAGCAAGCCAGUAAGCAGCACCCCUCCAUGGCCUUUGCUUCAGCUCCUCCCUCCAGGUUCCUGCCUUUAAUUUCUGCCCUGACUUCCCUAGAUGAAGGAUUAUAAACUGUAAAAUGCAAUAAACCUUUUCCUCCCCAAA
Molecule: long non-coding RNA, 1587 nt
Filed under: Mus musculus (house mouse)
Lineage: Eukaryota; Metazoa; Chordata; Mammalia; Rodentia; Muridae
Description: RIKEN cDNA 2810414N06 gene
Source: RNAcentral